AAUGGUUGUCCUAUCGGCAGGCAAGCCCACCAAGGAAACAAAUAGUACGCAAAAGACAAGGGUUCAGACAGGAGAACCGAAGUUCUCCCCCGAUGAUAUGUGGUAAUGAUCCUUCCGUAGGUGAACCUGCGGAAGGAUCAUUACCACAUAUCAUCGGGGGAGAACUUCGGUUCUCCUGUCUGAACCCUUGUCUUUUGCGUACUAUUUGUUUCCUUGGUGGGCUUGCCUGCCGAUAGGACAACCAUUAAACCUUUUGUAAUUGCAAUCAGCGUCAGAAAAAACAUAAUAAUUACAACUUUCAACAACGGAUCUCUUGGUUCUGGCAUCGAUGAAGAACGCAGCGAAAUGCGAAAAGUAGUGUGAAUUGCAGAAUUCAGUGAAUCAUCGAAUCUUUGAACGCACAUUGCGCCCCUUGGUAUUCCAUGGGGCAUGCCUGUUCGAGCGUCAUUUGUACCUUCAAGCUCUGCUUGGUGUUGGGUGUUUGUCCCGCUUUUUUGCGUGGACUCGCCUCAAAGCAAUUGGCAGCCGGCGUACUAGCCUGGGAGCGCAGCACAUUUUGCGCAUCUCGACUUGAACGCUUGCAUCCAUCAAGUUACUUUUUAACUCUGACUCGGUC
Molecule: unclassified non-coding RNA, 616 nt
Filed under: Neocucurbitaria keratinophila
Lineage: Eukaryota; Fungi; Ascomycota; Dothideomycetes; Pleosporales; Cucurbitariaceae
Description: sequence contains ITS1, 5.8S rRNA gene, ITS2
Rfam family: 5.8S ribosomal RNA (bases 294-447)
Source: RNAcentral